GAUCAUGGCUCAGGAUGAACGCUAGCUACAGGCUUAACACAUGCAAGUCGAGGGGAAACGACAUCGAAGGCUUGCUUUUGGUGGGCGUCGACCGGCGCACGGGUGAGUAACGCGUAUCCAACCUGCCCAUCACUUGGGAAUAACCUUGCGAAAGUAAGACUAAUGCCCAAUGAUAUCCCACGAAGGCAUCCGAAUGGGAUUAAAGAUUUAUCGGUGAUGGAUGCGGAUGCGU
Molecule: ribosomal RNA, 232 nt
Filed under: uncultured bacterium
Lineage: Bacteria
Description: partial 16S ribosomal RNA
Rfam family: Bacterial small subunit ribosomal RNA
Source: RNAcentral